Molecule: long non-coding RNA, 538 nt
Organism: Drosophila guanche
Lineage: Eukaryota; Metazoa; Arthropoda; Insecta; Diptera; Drosophilidae
Exons: 3
Source: RefSeq, a predicted model, not a curated record
CUUUUUUAUAGCUGUUGAGCUUUGUUUUAUGGCGGAUAAAUUUUGCUUCUCUACAAAUGUAAUGAAAAUGUUGAUUUUGAUGGCAUAAACUUUAAGUAAAGCCAAUUAAAACCACCAUAAAUUGCAAUCUGACACAGGACCAGAGCAUUGCUGAAUACAGAAGCGGUCAUGGCAUGACCGGAGGCACGACUCAAAUCGAAGAGGCCCACAAUGUGUAGGCGUCGCACGCGUUGUGGCCGCGUUUGCAGCUGCCGAUUGAGUGACAUAUGCGGCACUUACCUUCCUGGAGAGCACCACUUCCGAGUUGAGACCAGUGCCAUUCUGUGACUGAUUCACAAACCAGAGAUUUUGUAGCUGCUCCCGGAGCUGCAGCCACUUGGUGCUAGUUGUUUCGAAGAUGGAGAACUGCAUCAUUAGCUCGACAUGAUGAGCGAGGGCCACAAAGACGAUAAAGAGGCACUCCCACAGGUGGAAAUUCUUGGCGUACUCGAUGUAUAUCCAGAGGCGAAAGACGGUGGCAAUAUUGAAGAUAUACGUG